AUUGAACGCUGGCGGCAGGCCUAACACAUGCAAGUCGAACGGUAACAGGAAGCAGCUUGCUGCUUCGCUGACGAGUGGCGGACGGGUGAGUAAUGUCUGGGAAGCUGCCUGAUGGAGGGGGAUAACUACUGGAAACGGUAGCUAAUACCGCAUAAUGUCGCAAGACCAAAGAGGGGGACCUUCGGGCCUCUUGCCAUCGGAUGUGCCCAGAUGGGAUUAGCUUGUUGGUGGGGUAACGGCUCACCAAGGCGACGAUCCCUAGCUGGUCUGAGAGGAUGACCAGCCACACCGGGACUGAGACACGGUCCAGACUCCUACGGGAGGCAGCAGUGGGGAAUAUUGCACAAUGGGCGCAAGCCUGAUGCAGCCAUGCCGCGUGUAUGAAGAAGGCCUUCGGGUUGUAAAGUACUUUCAGCGGGGAGGAAGGGAGUAAAGUUAAUACCUUUGCUCAUUGACGUUACCCGCAGAAGAAGCACCGGCUAACUCCGUG
RNAcentral lists this ribosomal RNA (490 nucleotides) under uncultured bacterium. RNAcentral describes it as "partial 16S ribosomal RNA". It matches the Rfam family "Bacterial small subunit ribosomal RNA", at positions 30 to 507 of the family's 1533-position model. The record is from RNAcentral.